This 2333-nucleotide ribosomal RNA is filed under the name Escherichia coli. RNAcentral describes it as "partial 23S ribosomal RNA". It matches the Rfam family "Bacterial large subunit ribosomal RNA", at positions 612 to 2925 of the family's 2925-position model. The record is from RNAcentral. Lineage: Bacteria; Pseudomonadati; Pseudomonadota; Gammaproteobacteria; Enterobacterales; Enterobacteriaceae.
AUAAUGGGUCAGCGACUUAUAUUCUGUAGCAAGGUUAACCGAAUAGGGGAGCCGAAGGGAAACCGAGUCUUAACUGGGCGUUAAGUUGCAGGGUAUAGACCCGAAACCCGGUGAUCUAGCCAUGGGCAGGUUGAAGGUUGGGUAACACUAACUGGAGGACCGAACCGACUAAUGUUGAAAAAUUAGCGGAUGACUUGUGGCUGGGGGUGAAAGGCCAAUCAAACCGGGAGAUAGCUGGUUCUCCCCGAAAGCUAUUUAGGUAGCGCCUCGUGAAUUCAUCUCCGGGGGUAGAGCACUGUUUCGGCAAGGGGGUCAUCCCGACUUACCAACCCGAUGCAAACUGCGAAUACCGGAGAAUGUUAUCACGGGAGACACACGGCGGGUGCUAACGUCCGUCGUGAAGAGGGAAACAACCCAGACCGCCAGCUAAGGUCCCAAAGUCAUGGUUAAGUGGGAAACGAUGUGGGAAGGCCCAGACAGCCAGGAUGUUGGCUUAGAAGCAGCCAUCAUUUAAAGAAAGCGUAAUAGCUCACUGGUCGAGUCGGCCUGCGCGGAAGAUGUAACGGGGCUAAACCAUGCACCGAAGCUGCGGCAGCGACGCUUAUGCGUUGUUGGGUAGGGGAGCGUUCUGUAAGCCUGCGAAGGUGUGCUGUGAGGCAUGCUGGAGGUAUCAGAAGUGCGAAUGCUGACAUAAGUAACGAUAAAGCGGGUGAAAAGCCCGCUCGCCGGAAGACCAAGGGUUCCUGUCCAACGUUAAUCGGGGCAGGGUGAGUCGACCCCUAAGGCGAGGCCGAAAGGCGUAGUCGAUGGGAAACAGGUUAAUAUUCCUGUACUUGGUGUUACUGCGAAGGGGGGACGGAGAAGGCUAUGUUGGCCGGGCGACGGUUGUCCCGGUUUAAGCGUGUAGGCUGGUUUUCCAGGCAAAUCCGGAAAAUCAAGGCUGAGGCGUGAUGACGAGGCACUACGGUGCUGAAGCAACAAAUGCCCUGCUUCCAGGAAAAGCCUCUAAGCAUCAGGUAACAUCAAAUCGUACCCCAAACCGACACAGGUGGUCAGGUAGAGAAUACCAAGGCGCUUGAGAGAACUCGGGUGAAGGAACUAGGCAAAAUGGUGCCGUAACUUCGGGAGAAGGCACGCUGAUAUGUAGGUGAAGUCCCUCGCGGAUGGAGCUGAAAUCAGUCGAAGAUACCAGCUGGCUGCAACUGUUUAUUAAAAACACAGCACUGUGCAAACACGAAAGUGGACGUAUACGGUGUGACGCCUGCCCGGUGCCGGAAGGUUAAUUGAUGGGGUUAGCGCAAGCGAAGCUCUUGAUCGAAGCCCCGGUAAACGGCGGCCGUAACUAUAACGGUCCUAAGGUAGCGAAAUUCCUUGUCGGGUAAGUUCCGACCUGCACGAAUGGCGUAAUGAUGGCCAGGCUGUCUCCACCCGAGACUCAGUGAAAUUGAACUCGCUGUGAAGAUGCAGUGUACCCGCGGCAAGACGGAAAGACCCCGUGAACCUUUACUAUAGCUUGACACUGAACAUUGAGCCUUGAUGUGUAGGAUAGGUGGGAGGCUUUGAAGUGUGGACGCCAGUCUGCAUGGAGCCGACCUUGAAAUACCACCCUUUAAUGUUUGAUGUUCUAACGUUGACCCGUAAUCCGGGUUGCGGACAGUGUCUGGUGGGUAGUUUGACUGGGGCGGUCUCCUCCUAAAGAGUAACGGAGGAGCACGAAGGUUGGCUAAUCCUGGUCGGACAUCAGGAGGUUAGUGCAAUGGCAUAAGCCAGCUUGACUGCGAGCGUGACGGCGCGAGCAGGUGCGAAAGCAGGUCAUAGUGAUCCGGUGGUUCUGAAUGGAAGGGCCAUCGCUCAACGGAUAAAAGGUACUCCGGGGAUAACAGGCUGAUACCGCCCAAGAGUUCAUAUCGACGGCGGUGUUUGGCACCUCGAUGUCGGCUCAUCACAUCCUGGGGCUGAAGUAGGUCCCAAGGGUAUGGCUGUUCGCCAUUUAAAGUGGUACGCGAGCUGGGUUUAGAACGUCGUGAGACAGUUCGGUCCCUAUCUGCCGUGGGCGCUGGAGAACUGAGGGGGGCUGCUCCUAGUACGAGAGGACCGGAGUGGACGCAUCACUGGUGUUCGGGUUGUCAUGCCAAUGGCACUGCCCGGUAGCUAAAUGCGGAAGAGAUAAGUGCUGAAAGCAUCUAAGCACGAAACUUGCCCCGAGAUGAGUUCUCCCUGACUCCUUGAGAGUCCUGAAGGAACGUUGAAGACGACGACGUUGAUAGGCCGGGUGUGUAAGCGCAGCGAUGCGUUGAGCUAACCGGUACUAAUGAACCGUGAGGCUUAACCUU